UCCCUUGACUCGGGGUGCCCGCUGCAAAGCAGGGCUGAGAUUUUACCCGUAUUACCUGAUCUGGAUUAUGCCAGCGUAGGGAAGUCAGGUAUCUCUCUC
This is a regulatory RNA element of Rahnella aquatilis, 99 nucleotides long. It matches the Rfam family "TPP riboswitch aptamer (THI element)". Rfam says of the family: Vitamin B(1) in its active form thiamin pyrophosphate (TPP) is an essential coenzyme that is synthesised by coupling of pyrimidine and thiazole moieties in bacteria. The previously detected thiamin-regulatory element, thi box was extended, resulting in a new, highly conserved RNA secondary structure, the THI element, which is widely distributed in eubacteria and also occurs in some archaea. Analysis of operon structures identified a large number of new candidate thiamin-regulated genes, mostly transporters, in various prokaryotic organisms. The record is from Rfam. Lineage: Bacteria; Pseudomonadati; Pseudomonadota; Gammaproteobacteria; Enterobacterales; Yersiniaceae.